UGCCUACGGGACGCAGCAGUGAGGAAUAUUGGUCAAUGGACGAGAGUCUGAACCAGCCAAGUAGCGUGAAGGAUGACUGCCCUAUGGGUUGUAAACUGCUUUUAGUUGGGAAUAAAAGGGGGCUAGUGAGCCCCGUAUUGUAUGUACCAUCAGAAAAAGGACCGGCUAAUUCCGUGCCAGCAGCCGCGGUAAUACGGAAGGUCCGGGCGUUAUCCGGAUUUAUUGGGUUUAAAGG
RNAcentral lists this ribosomal RNA (235 nucleotides) under uncultured bacterium. RNAcentral's name for it is "partial 16S ribosomal RNA". It matches the Rfam family "Bacterial small subunit ribosomal RNA", at positions 335 to 566 of the family's 1533-position model. The record is from RNAcentral.